ACCCGCACAAGCGGUGGAUGAUGUGGAUUAAUUCGAUGCAACGCGAAAAACCUUACCUACCCUUGACAUGUCAGAAACCUCGGAGAGAUUUGAGGGUGCUCGCAAGAGAAUCUGAACACAGGUGCUGCAUGGCUGUCGUCAGCUCGUGUCGUGAGAUGUUGGGUUAAGUCCCGCAACGAGCGCAACCCUUGUCAUUAGUUGCUACGAAAGGGCACUCUAAUGAGACUGCCGGUGACAAACCGGAGGAAGGUGGGGAUGACGUCAAGUCCUCAUGGCCCUUAUGGGUAGGGCUUCACACGUCAUACAAUGGUACAUACAGAGGGCCGCCAACCCGCGAGGGGGAGCUAAUCCCAGAAAGUGUAUCGUAGUCCGGAUUGGAGUCUGCAACUCGACUCCAUGAAGUUGGAAUCGCUAGUAAUCGCGGAUCAGCAUGUCGCGGUGAAUACGUUCCCGGGUCUUGUACACACCGCCCGUCACACCAUGGGAGCGGGUUUUACCAGAAGUAGGUAGCUUAACCGCAAGGAGGGCGCUUACCACGGUAGGAUUCGUGACUGGGGUGAAGUCGUAACAAGGUAGCCGUAUCGGAAGGUGCGGCUGGAUCACCUCCUUUCUG
This 613-nucleotide ribosomal RNA is filed under the name uncultured bacterium. RNAcentral describes it as "bacterial SSU rRNA". It matches the Rfam family "Bacterial small subunit ribosomal RNA", at positions 919 to 1533 of the family's 1533-position model. The record is from RNAcentral.